Non-coding RNA from Pelobates cultripes (western spadefoot toad), 1294 nucleotides. NCBI's taxonomy places the organism in Eukaryota, Metazoa, Chordata, Amphibia, Anura, Pelobatidae. The record is from the annotation of a GenBank genome assembly.
CUGUUCUUGCUUUGCAACUAUUCUCAGCUACUUGCUUAAUAUUACUAUUGAAGAUUAUUCUCAUUAACCAAAGAAUGUUACUUAAUGCUUCUCUGAGGAAAUACUUAAUAAUGAACUUUGUGUUGUUGAUUACUUGCACUUCUUCUUAUUGGAUUAUUGCCUAAAUGCAAUUCAUUUAAGUUUAACACUUAUUAAAACUUCGUCUGAAUCAAGUUACCAGCGAUUCCCUCUUUUCUUAAAGCUACAGUAUUGAUACUUUAAAGUUUCUCUGUAUCUUCACUAAUGUAAUUAGGGAGGUUUACAAGCUGCAGUUGAGUUCCAAGCCAAAUCACCCAAGUAGCGUAACACAAACACACGUCAACCCCUGUGAGAACAAUUGAUGCAGCAAGGAAAGAGAGGCUAUGUAGUCUUGCUUUUUGUUUUGUCACUGGGCAUUUUAUUUUUCACUAAUGGUUAGCAUGUUGCUUUGAUGGUUCACUUACUUUGAUUUUUACUUCUGAUCUUUCCUCCUAUGUCUGUCUAGCAAGCUUAACAGGGAGAGAGGCUUUGAUAGUUUAACUUUUUGCCAGUUUUUUUUUUACUGGUUAUAGAAUUUUUCAUCUUUCUCUAAUAGGCUAUACCUAUGUGGCCACCUGGCCACCCAACAGGCUUUAUUUGACUCAUUUAAAUAGCCCUUCAUGCCUCAUACAGGCUGACAUUACCUUGACUCUUAGGUACAUUUGUUGCUAUAUAUACUGAUUGACUACAUAGCCUCUCUUUCCUUGCAGCAAUCAAUUGUUCUCACAGGGGCUGACGUGUGUUUUUAUGUAGAGCCAUAUUUAAUAAAGCUCCUUUUUAUUGUGAUACCAGCCUUGUGAGACUUUGUAUAAUACUUAUUUUGAGAUAGGAGAUUUACCGUACAAGGUGUUUAUUGUAGUGUAAUGUAUUUAUUUUUUCUUUUAAUACUGUACUGCAGAAUCUCAGAGGACAAUUCAUUCGCUACAGGUUAAUUACUUUAUAUUUAUAUUUAGCAAUACUACUAUCUAUAUCUCCAGGAAGCAUUGUAUGUUCCCUUGUGGUGAACCUGCAUGCUCUGUUUUGUUUUGUCUUUCUUGAUUAUCUGGGGUUAUGCCCUGAGAGACCCCUGGAGUCUCUCUUUGGUGCCUAGGAGCACUGGGAACAGUUAGACACAUUUCACUUAGAAUUGUGUCUAUAGUUGUUUCCCUUUGGUAUCCCAUCGCUAUACUAAAUAAUUAUUUAGCCAAAACUGCAAGGAAAGAGUCUUGAGAAAAGUCUAUUGUGACUGAAACGUCGA